Molecule: long non-coding RNA, 924 nt
Organism: Cygnus olor (mute swan)
Lineage: Eukaryota; Metazoa; Chordata; Aves; Anseriformes; Anatidae
Exons: 5
Source: RefSeq, a predicted model, not a curated record
GUUGGACUCAGUAAAUGGCUGUGCAUAUGUCCAGCAUCAAAUCACAAUGAUAUUGCCUCUCCUUAUGCAUAACUGCCCCUCAAGGUGCUAUUGUUAUGUGAUUGGUAAUAUGGCAUAUUUCUGAAGCCUGCUGAGACCUGAAGAAAAUUCUAGGUCUCUCCUCACCUUUGAGAAAUAUAAAACCCUAAUAAAUCAAAAUUCAGGAAAAAUGGGACUGAUCCUCUACAUUUUGACAUAAAAGGUAGCUGUGCAUUGUGUAAUGGAUGUGUAGCCUAACUAUACCCCAUAAGGUGUUGAUGCUGGAAACAGGGAGGCAACAGCCCGGCUGACUCUAUCUUGAGGCUGAUCAGGAUCUGAGCUUGUGAGGAUGGAGGUGUUCCCUGGGACUGGAAAAUGCCGUCAGGUCAAGUCUGACUCAGGCUCAGAGACUGAAUGCUUACAAGUGCAGAGACUGAAUGCUUAUGGGGCAAUAAAACCUGGGGGAAAAAAGCAGUGAGGAAGUCACAUACCAAGAUAUGACUAAGUAAAGGUUUGCGGCAGAAGCAAGGUGGCAAGGCUGUGAAUAACUGGCUCACCACUCAGGCCCGUGCAAGCAGCAGCAGGAAGAUGACUUCAUCUCCUCCUCCCCUAUGCCAGUGACCUGCAGCUCUGGAUUGCAUACAGCAGCUGCUAAUGCUGGAGGAGCUGCCUGUCCCAGUGGCAACAGUGGCAACAGCAGCAGCUAGGGCAGACUUCCCAGGCUCUACCCUCUUUCUCUGACAUUCAUCAGAUAACAAAGAAGGUCACCCUCCUUGGCGUAGUUCACCUCCAAAUAGGAAACAAUCACUGAUUUUAUAGCAGAACUCGUGAUCAGUUUGUAGCAAAAUGUGAGAUGCAGAGCAAAACCUUUAACCCCAUUUUAAAAAUACUUUUACCAUUCCCUUU